CACUCCUGCGGGAGGCAGCAGUGGGGAAUAUUGGACAAUGGGCGCAAGCCUGAUCCAGCCAUGCCGCGUGAGUGAUGAAGGCCCUAGGGUUGUAAAGCUCUUUCACCGGUGAAGAUAAUGACGGUAACCGGAGAAGAAGCCCCGGCUAACUUCGUGCCAGCAGCCGCGGUAAUACGAAGGGGGCUAGCGUUGUUCGGAUUUACUGGGCGUAAAGCGCACGUAGGCGGACUAUUAAGUCAGGGGUGAAAUCCCGGGGCUCAACCCCGGAACUGCCUUUGAUACUGGUAGUCUUGAGUUCGAGAGAGGUGAGUGGAAUUCCGAGUGUAGAGGUGAAAUUCGUAGAUAUUCGGAGGAACACCAGUGGCGAAGGCGGCUCACUGGCUCGAUACUGACGCUGAGGUGCGAAAGCGUGGGGAGCAAACAGGAUUAGAUACCCCGGUAGUCCCAU
This 448-nucleotide ribosomal RNA is filed under the name uncultured organism. Its description in RNAcentral is "partial 16S ribosomal RNA". It matches the Rfam family "Bacterial small subunit ribosomal RNA", at positions 334 to 798 of the family's 1533-position model. The record is from RNAcentral.